RNAcentral lists this long non-coding RNA (1341 nucleotides) under Macaca mulatta (Rhesus monkey). RNAcentral's name for it is "lncRNA (ENSMMUG00000055503.1)". The record is from RNAcentral. Lineage: Eukaryota; Metazoa; Chordata; Mammalia; Primates; Cercopithecidae.
CUCGUUCUUGCCUUGGUAUUUUUUAACACAGAUAUCAACCAUCGUGUUACACUGAGAUGCUAAUAAUCCUUGUUUGAAAAUCCCCCAGGGCUGGGCGCAGUGGCUCACGCCUGUAAUCCCAACACUGGGAAGCCAAGGUGAGCAGAUCACCUGAGGUCGGGAGUUUGAGACCAGACUGGCCAACAUGGAGAAAUCCCGUCUCUACUAAAAGUACAAAAUUAGCCAGGCGUGGUGGUGCAUGCCUGUAAUCCCAGCUACUAGGGAGGCUGAGACAGAAUUGCUUGAACCUGGGAGGCAGCGGUUACGGUGAACCUAGAUGGCGCCAUUGCACUUCAGCCUGGGCAACAAGAGUGAAACUCUUGUCUCCAAAAAAGAAAAGCCCCCAAAUGCAAGUGACUCAUGUUGAAAUCCUGUUUCAGAGGCCCGUGCAAGAAAUUAUCAUCGCUUUAAGAAUACACAGAAACUGCUAAGUUUUUCCAGCUCUCUGAUGUCUACAAAACUGAGUAGAACAGUGUGCCCUUUGGGGCCAACAAAGCGACUGCUGCCAAGCAGGGUAACGUGCUUUCAAACCUGAAGCAUUUUAGUCCUCAAAGGAAAGCCCAGCCCCUCCACAGCUUGGGUGUCCUGCUGGCCACAGAGCCACUGUCCCGGGCUGCUACCCUCUGUGCUCGGCCCCUCCCCUCCACCGCCCCUGCCCUCAUUCCAUUAUUAGGUAUGCAUUUCAGAUUUUGAAUGGAUCUCCUUGUCUGGCGUUAAUUGACAGUGAAAGCCCGGUUUUCAAAGCCAAGGUACAAGCACUGAAGGUUGACCAGAUAUGGUUAACUUCGCUAAAGGAAUGUGGGGAAUAGGGCAGGGGCCUUCAUUAACUUCAUGCCAGGUCGCAGGAGUUUGAGGCUGUAACAAAAGCAGAUGUGAGCAUCUGUAGCCCAUCCAGAGAGCAGCAUGGCAGAAGGACUGGGGCGUUCGCCUAAUGCUACAUAAUCAUUCAGUGUCAUUGAUCUCCCCAGACCCUGAUUAAUAAAUUGCAGCAGAAGUCUUUUACAGCAGUGACUACAAUUUUAUUUCACCUAUUAGAAGCCCGUCACAGUGCACACCAGUCAUGCAGGACAAGCUUACACACCCCUCCCUUCCACCCCUCCAGGCCUGUCCAUAGUUCUGAAUUCACUUUGCUUGUGCACCUCCAUGGGCCUGUUUUGGUUAAGAAACGUGGGGUGCCUUUUGCAGGUCCCUCCAUUGUGCCAAGCUAACCCCAGGCUGACCACAGGGAACAGAAAGGGAGCAUCAGCAAAGGGGUCAGUUCAAACAGCAACUUGAGGUUUGUUUUUUUUCAAUGCAACACAG